Molecule: non-coding RNA, 3852 nt
Organism: Struthio camelus australis
Lineage: Eukaryota; Metazoa; Chordata; Aves; Struthioniformes; Struthionidae
Source: RefSeq, a predicted model, not a curated record
CUAGAUCAUCUCCAGAGGUCUCUUCCAACCUAAACGGUUCUGUGAUUCUGUGAAAAUUCAGUGAGAAUUUUUCCUUGGGCACUGUGUAUCUCUCACCUGCUUUAAUGCUCCUCACUACCACCGAGAAGUCAAAACAGCAGCUGUGCUUGUUCCUGUCUCUCAAGGACUAACAGUGUUAUUUCACUGCUCAGCUUACAAGAACUGAGCAAACAGUCUUCUUUCACGUCCCUGAGCUUUUUCAUAUGCAUUCAUUUUUUCAUUAGUAAAACACUUGAGUAAUGUGUCAGCACUUUAAUUAACGGCUGCGUUAGUGAAUGCUCUUGCUGUACAUGUACCAGCAUUCUCUGACACUAUCAUUUCCUUUGGAAGUGUAUUACACCCUUCACUAUAGUAAGAUAUUUUUCAUCUCUUGUCACAGUUUACUUUGACACUUUCAAGCUCAUCUGUUUUUAUGGAAAGGCUCUGCUUGACCCAGUGAAUAGAUUUGUCACUUGGAGUGGAUCCUGACUUUUGCGAAUGCUAUCAAAAAAUCAACAUUAAGUAAUUUUAACUGCCUCUUAUAAUGCACGCUUUUAUCUAGGUCUGUUUAGAUAUUUAAUGCUAACUAUAUAUUUGGUUAGUACUAUUAGACAGUCAUUUAGGAUUACUGCUUAACAGAAGUGGAAAGAAACGUACAGAAAGCCCAGACAGAUCUGUUUUUAGUCAGAACAAGGCACAAUAAACAUUAAAAGCAUAAGCAGCCUCACAUGACUGCAUGUAAAAAUGGUAUGUUAGCAUGAAGUGUGAGGAGAGUUAGGAGGGACUGGUAAUCUUUGACUCAAGCAGUCACUUUUUUUUUUAAUUUUUCUUUACAGACAUUCAGUGUGAAACAUGACUGUGAAUGUGAUGCUGGAGUUAUUAGCCUGGCAAAAUGAAGAAUAAAGAUCUUAAUUUCUGCUCCAACAUGCCAUUGUAAUAUUCAAGCCAACAAACAUAUGACAAAAGAUUUAGGAAUUGUAUAAUAUGCAAAAAACAAAACAAAGCUGCUAUCCAGUUGGAGAUACAGGAAGGAGAUGCAAAUUAUUAAUUUCAUAUGCUUAAUUAUUGCAAAACAGUUAUUCAAACAGUUUUGACAGAAGAAAACAUGCAAUUAUGCUUUGUUGGCUCUUGCACAUUAUCUUGUUUGUUAAUAAAUAACAUUCCCAUAAAAAUGCAAAUGUAAAAGAUAUUUAUUGAGAAAUAAAAAUGCAUUUCCUAACCAUAUAUUGAAUCCAGAAAGCUAAUUUGAAAACGUUAAUUGUUGUAUGAUUAUCUGUCAGUCCUGACAGAAACUCUAUGUUAGAAAAGGCUGGCAUUUUAGCUUGUUUAAAGUUGUUCCAGUGUUAGCAGGUAAGCUUUUUGGCGUGCUGUAACGGUAAUGAAAGUUGCUGUUUAGCUCCUAGAUAGUUCUGCUUCUGGAGCAGAAGGAGUAUGUCUAUUUUAGCCUAAAAAAGUCAGCCUUGCAUUUUUCACUUCCUAUUUCUGCCAGCCUCUGGGGAGGGCAGCCAACCUCCCCUGUGCUAAUACUGAACGUUUUAGAAAAGGAAAGUCAAUAUUUCUCCCUUUCUGUUUCUGCACAAGGAACGGUAACGGCGCUGAGGACAUCCCCCAAGGUAAGUUCAACUUAGCAAGGUAAGGUCUUCAACUACAGACUGUUGGUCGGGGUGUUAUAUUUAGUGAAUGAUAGAUAUCAGUGCCCAAAGCAUUUGAGCAUUUUGGAGAAGGCAAGUCCCUCCUAAAUUGAGUAGCUAAAAUGCCUCCCACACCCUAAGGGACUGUGCUAUGAUGGAAAAGUGUUUCAGGACACCUACUCUGUGUAGGUGUUUGAGGCGACCAGGGCUCUUCCCUGGGCCUGCUGAUGAUCUGUCAGCUCUAGCUGAACAAUGUGUGAGUUUUAUAGUGAAAAAACAUGCUUGCAAAGCAAACCUUUUAACUGGAGAAGGUCAUCUUCUAGGAGCCAGGCCUUAACAGCAGACACUUUAACCUUUAAAAGGAGAAGAGGUGUCUCUCUUUCUCACCGGUCAUGCACUGAUUCAUAAACAGUUUAUUUUAGAGUGUCAUUUUGCAAAAUUUGCUCACUAAAAACUGUGAUGUACAGUAUCUAUUCUGUACCAGCAGGUCUGAGGAAAAAAAAAAAAACCGCAUUCUGAUAUUGCAAGCACUGAAAAGUUACAUUUGUUGUUCAGUCUUAAAACUAGUUAAGAAAACUAGAGUUCAUAGUGUCACCAAAAUAAAUCAGUAACAAAUUGCCUAACUCAAAAGAAGUGCUUUUGCUUUUGAGAUUGAUGUGAAAAUGUAAACAGCAGCAUCACCGAACAAAAUGUUUUAAACCACGUUUUCUGGGGAAAUAAGUGUAUGUGGGAAGAUUUGAAGAAGAGAUAUAAUCCAAUAUACAAUGCAACCUUUUGGGGGAUUAAGGUUUUUUUUCUUUUCUUUUUUUUUUAAGUUUUGUCUAAUCCAAAAUACUUUGAGCCUUAUAUUUGCAAAGAUUAGGACAGCAUUAUAAACUUGAAUAACUUAUUUUUCCAGGAAUAGCUAUUCUCUAGCUUUUGACAGCAUACAUAAGCAUACAAAAAUUUAACAGAUAUCCUUAACAUUAAUCACAACAUCUUCAAUCUGCACAUCUGGUAUUGGUUAUAUGCAGAAAAAUUCUGUACCCUCCGUACUACAUCUGUGGAAAAUCUGAUUCAAGAGAAAACAUAAUCACUUGCCAGCUCGGAAAAAGGCUCCUUCUACCCUGGGUCCCUGUCUACUUGCUGCAAAUAGUCCAAGCAAUCCAAGGAUUCAUGGUGGAGUCCAGUCUUUUACCAGCAGGACAUGUAGGAAGCAGAAGGUCUCCAGUUACACAGAGAUUUGGAUUCAACAAAACCCAUGCCAUGAUGCUAAAGAUACAAGCCCUGAACUGCAACAUGUAUGCACAAACAUGGCCCAGAGUUAAUGCUGCUUGUGCACUGGAAGCACUGAGGAGAAAAUUCUUUUAAUUAAGUUUUUAGCAUGUGUUGUUGUAGCUCUAAACUUCCCUAAUUGAGUAAUUUUCUCUAGUCAUUUCUAGCUGGAUGAAAAUUCAUCCCUGAUCUCAUAACUGAAAAGCAGAAGAGGAAGGGUAGCUACGUAUGUUUUUAUUGCAUUACAAAACUUAUCAAGAACAGCUAGAGAAUGGCCAAGAUGUCAUUUAAAAUUAACAUUUUAUGUGGUUAAUCCAAUAUAUGGAAUUGCAAAAUCUAAGCAAAACAAUGUCUGUGUAAAUAAAGCAGCUCAGCAAUUUACGAAGCACUUGAAAGCUUUUGGUGCUUUAACAUGUUGAAAGCAGGUCAAAACUUAUUAGCCUUUUUUUUUUUUUUUGUAAUCAUCCUUUCUCUCUUAAAUACACCAUCUGUCCCUUGGAUAGGCAGAUGGCCUGUUACUUUAGACACAAGUUAAAGCUCUAUCAUUAGGAUGUGUAAGUCCCCUAAAUGAGACACUUCUUCCUUUCUCAGCAUCAUAUAGAUGGCUUGAUUAAAAGAUUCCAGCAAUUUGCUAAAGAAAAUCGGCAAAAUACACUGAGUAGCUAAAGCACAACAUUAUAUUUACACCUAACCACUGACCAUUAUAAUGAAAUAUCACAUGAGACUUUUAAGAAGUUACUUGUGUAAUUUAUACAUCACAUCUGUGAUAAAAUCCUUUAUAGAAAUUGUAGUUAGUAUGUGGUUUUAGAAGCGUCCUAUUUUUCUUGAAUUGGUUUGGACACCCUCUUAGAUGCCCUCAUAUAAAGUAUUUUGCCUCAGUAACAUGAUUUGUUAGGUGAAAAAAAAAGGAAGCAGCCAUUCUCUGAAAAAAAAAGAAAAAAAAAAAAAA